Molecule: long non-coding RNA, 255 nt
Filed under: Lathyrus oleraceus (garden pea)
Lineage: Eukaryota; Viridiplantae; Streptophyta; Magnoliopsida; Fabales; Fabaceae
Description: Pisum sativum (pea) long non-coding RNA (PSAT_LNC002687)
Source: RNAcentral
UUUGUGUUAAUACAUGCUAGAGAAAUGAUAUGUAAAUCUGCCUCCUAAAGCUAUGCCACACAAGAAAAGAAAAAUAAAGGGGAAGAUCAAACACAAAGGCUAGGAGGAUGAUUGAUUAUAUCAAUCCAUAUUUUAUGACACUUAUGACAAACUUAUGCACCAAUCCAAAGUACAUUAAAUGAUUCAUGAUCACUUAGAAGGUAGAUUUGAAAUGACGAAAGUUCAUCAAGCACAAAUCCAUACAUCAUAAACAAG